CCCUUAGAUGUUCUGGGCUGCACGCGCGCUACACUGAUGCGUUCAACGAGUUUUUAGCUUAUCUGAUAAGAUUGGCUAAUCUUCUGAAAACGCAUCGUGAUGGGGAUAGAUUAUUGUAAUUAUUAAUCUUCAACGAGGAAUUCCUAGUAGGUGUGAAUCAUCAGUUCACGCCGAUUACGUCCCUGCCCUUUGUACACACCGCCCGUCGCUCCUACCGAUUGAGCGAUCCGGUGAAUAAUUCGGACCGGUGAGCUUCCAGGUUUACCUGGCUGCUUGCUGGAAAGUCUAGUGAACCUUAUCACUUAGAGGAAGGAGAAGUCGUAACA
RNAcentral lists this ribosomal RNA (326 nucleotides) under uncultured eukaryote. Its description in RNAcentral is "partial 18S ribosomal RNA". It matches the Rfam family "Eukaryotic small subunit ribosomal RNA", at positions 1470 to 1796 of the family's 1831-position model. The record is from RNAcentral.